GAUGAACGCUGGCGGCGUGCCUAAUACAUGCAAGUCGAGCGAACAGACGAGGAGCUUGCUCCUCUGACGUUAGCGGCGGACGGGUGAGUAACACGUGGAUAACCUACCUAUAAGACUGGGAUAACUUCGGGAAACCGGCGCUAAUACCGGAUAAUAUAUUGAACCGCAUGGUUCAAUAGUGAAAGACGGUUUUGCUGUCACUUAUAGAUGGAUCCGCGCCGCAUUAGCUAGUUGGUAAGGUAACGGCUUACCAAGGCGACGAUGCGUAGCCGAACUGAGAGGGUGAUCGGCCACACUGGAACGGAGACACGGUCCAGACUACUACGGGAGGCAGCAGUAGGGAAUGUUCCGCAAUGGGCGAAAGCAUGACGGAGCAACGCCGCGUGAGUGAUGAAGGUCUUCGGAUCGUAAAAAUCUGUUAUGAGGGAAGAACAAAUGUGUAAGUAACUAUGCACGUCUUGACGGUACCUAAUCAGAAAGCCACGGCUAACUACGUG
This 497-nucleotide ribosomal RNA is filed under the name uncultured bacterium. Its description in RNAcentral is "partial 16S ribosomal RNA". It matches the Rfam family "Bacterial small subunit ribosomal RNA", at positions 28 to 507 of the family's 1533-position model. The record is from RNAcentral.